Molecule: ribosomal RNA, 440 nt
Filed under: uncultured bacterium
Lineage: Bacteria
Description: partial 16S ribosomal RNA
Rfam family: Bacterial small subunit ribosomal RNA
Source: RNAcentral
CCUACGGGAGGCAGCAGUGGGGAAUAUUGCACAAUGGGGGAAACCCUGAUGCAGCGACGCCGCGUGAGCGAUGAAGUAUUUCGGUAUGUAAAGCUCUAUCAGCAGGGAAGAAAAUGACGGUACCUGACUAAGAAGCCCCGGCUAACUACGUGCCAGCAGCCGCGGUAAUACGUAGGGGGCAAGCGUUAUCCGGAUUUACUGGGUGUAAAGGGAGCGUAGACGGUCCUGCAAGCCAGGUGUGAAAGCCCGGGGCUCAACCCCGGGACUGCAUUUGGAACUGUACGGCUAGAGUGGAGGAGAGGUAGGCGGAAUUCCUAGUGUAGCGGUGAAAUGCGUAGAUAUUAGGAGGAACACCAGUGGCGAAGGCGGCCUACUGGACGAUGACUGACGUUGAGGCUCGAAAGCGUGGGGAGCAAACAGGAUUAGAUACCCCUGUAGUC